CAGCAGCUGUGGCAUGAUUUAGCUGCAGUCCCUGUAGGCAAUUUGAGGGCAACCUCUUUUUUCAUACCCUUUUUUUGUGGCAAGCUGUUUUGAGGAGCAAGCCUUAUCAGUGACCAUUCUUUUUUUUUCCUUUUUACCAGGCAAGACUUUUAUACUGGUUUUAAGAUGGAGGACUUCGCAGAUCAAAAUGAUAGCGAGGUACAGACCACAUUAUCAUAUCCUUUACUUGCGGCAUUUUUACAUUUUUACAUGUAUUAGGUAGAGAAUCAGUCAGCAGCACCAACAUGUAGUUAAGUUAUUCAGUUCUCGCCCACCCGGACGACCUAGGUCACCUAACACGGACGACCAAGUUGCCCAAAGCCCCGUCGAACACCGUCAUACCAAGUCGCCUCAACACAAAUGGGAGCUGCGACACUUCUCGCCCACCCAGGUGACCUAGGUCGCCUAACACGGACGACCAAGUCGCCCAAAGCCCCGCCGACAACCGUCAUACCAAGUCGCCUCAACACAAAUGGGGGGUGCGGCACUUCUCGUCCACCCCGGUGACCUAGGUCGCCUAACACGGAC
Molecule: long non-coding RNA, 567 nt
Filed under: Hordeum vulgare
Lineage: Eukaryota; Viridiplantae; Streptophyta; Magnoliopsida; Poales; Poaceae
Description: long non-coding RNA (HVUL_LNC005760)
Source: RNAcentral